Molecule: ribosomal RNA, 253 nt
Filed under: uncultured bacterium
Lineage: Bacteria
Description: partial 16S ribosomal RNA
Rfam family: Bacterial small subunit ribosomal RNA
Source: RNAcentral
UACGUAGGGGGCAAGCGUUGUCCGGAUUUAUUGGGCGUAAAGCGCGUGUAGGCGGCCAGAAAAGUCCGCUGUGAAAACUCGAGGCUCAACUUCGAGCUGUCGGUGGAAACUUUCUGGCUAGAGUCCGGAAGAGGAGAAUGGAAUUCCUGGUGUAGCGGUGAAAUGCGCAGAUAUCAGGAAGAACACCCGUGGCGAAGGCGGCUUUCUGGACAGAUACCGACGCUGAGGCACGAAAGCUAGGGGAGCAAACAGG